UGCAAGUCGAGCGGAUCAGGUUCCUUCGGGGGCCUGAUUAGCGGCGAACGGGUGAGGAAUAGAUGGAUAACGUACCCUGGACACGGGGAUAGCGGCGGGGCUUCGGCCCCUUUGCGAAAGUGCCGGUAAUACCCGAUGACCCCGCGUGGUCGCAUGACCGUGCGGGCAAAUGCUCCGGCGGUCCGGGAUCGGUCCAUCUCCUAUCAGCUAGUUGGUGAGGUAACGGCUCACCAAGGCAUCGACGGGUAGCGGGCGUGAGAGCGUGGCCCGCCACAUCGGGACUGAGACACUGCCCGGACACCUACGGGUGGCUGCAGCAACGAAUAUUCCGCAAUGGACGCAAGUCUGACGGAGCGACGCCGCGUGCAGGAAGAAGUCCUUCGGGAUGUAAACUGCUGUCAGGGGCUAGGAAUACCGACCAGCCCCAAAGGAAGCACCGGCUAACUCCGUGCCAGCAGCCGCGGUAAUACGGAGGGUGCAAGCGUUGUUCGGAAUUACUGGGCUUAAAGCGCGUGUAGGCGGGACGGCAAGUGUCGGGUGAAAUCCCACGGCUCAACCGUGGAACUGCUCGGCAAACUGCCGCCCUUGAGGCAGGUAGAGGUGACUGGAACGACUGGUGGAGCGGUGAAAUGCGUAGAUAUCAGUUGGAACGCCAGAGGCGAAAGCGGGUCACUGGGCCUGUCCUGACGCUGAGACGCGAAAGCGUGGGGAGCAAACAGGAUUAGAUACCCUGGUAGUCCACGCCGUAAACGAUGGAUGCUAGCCGUUGGACAGCAUGCUGUUCAGUGGCGCAGCUAACGCAUUAAGCAUCCCGCCUGGGGAGUACAGCCGCAAGGUUAAAACUCAAAGGAAUUGACGGGGGCCCGCACAAGCGGUGGAGCAUGUGGUUUAAUUCGAGGCAACGCGAAGAACCC
This 914-nucleotide ribosomal RNA is filed under the name uncultured cyanobacterium. RNAcentral describes it as "bacterial SSU rRNA". It matches the Rfam family "Bacterial small subunit ribosomal RNA", at positions 56 to 971 of the family's 1533-position model. Lineage: Bacteria; Bacillati; Cyanobacteriota. The record is from RNAcentral.